Anguilla rostrata (American eel) is the source of this 826-nucleotide long non-coding RNA. RefSeq lists it as uncharacterized. Lineage: Eukaryota; Metazoa; Chordata; Actinopteri; Anguilliformes; Anguillidae. The record is from RefSeq and is a predicted model, not a curated record. The transcript is spliced from 6 exons.
AUUGAUAUACGGCACAUUGCUUAAGACAGAACAGCAUUGUGGGCGUUUUGCUCUUAACUGCAUAACACCGUUUGAAUUUUCAGUAAUUAACUGGAAAUUGCUAUGGAUAUUGGGAAGCCGUUGGUUAGUAGUGGCGACAGAGAAUUUGCUAACAAAGCAAUGCCAAGUUUCGAGUGUCACACCUAAUAGGCUACGCGAAUUUAAAAGUAAUUAUAUCACAAUUUGUUCGUUUUUGAUUUCCAACAGAAUACGUUGAUCUGUAUUUCACAUAAAUUUUCUUGUUCUUUUCCAAGGCAACCCUGUACUUUGAGUAUUUUUGUUGCAGCUGGCUAGAGUGUCGCCGGAUUGUGCAGUACACAAGUCUUGUACAGUAUCCAGUCUUCUGGGCCAUGUAACAGUAGGAACAGAGACGAGACUAACGGCAACCAAUGAACAAGUUGAGGAUGUUUCAGUGUUGGAGGGGGAUUUGACUGACGACGUAACGUGAAAAGAAAACAAUUGCAUCAUACAAAGACAGCGUGCAGCACAGCAUGCAGCAUAACAAUGUCUGAUAUAAGUGAGAGCAUCAAGGACGCAGUCAUUUCUGUCCUGCCAAGUGUGCCAGAAGAAAGCGAUCUUACACCAGGGAGUGGAAAGCAAAGAUGACUUGCAGUACAUAAGAGAACAGGAAAUUGCAGAGGUUAUUCGACCAAUUCAGUGCAGAAAACUUUUAAAUGCAUGGAAAUGAGCAGGUUUCUGCCUCUGCUGCUGACGUUGAGAGGUCCUUAACUUUGCCUGACAGUCCUCGAUUGAUUGUUCUCGAACUCGCCUCCGCAGGCAGGGACCC